UGUAUCUGAAGUCUGACGAGGAUGAGAACCUCCGGGGGCAAGAGGUUCGACCCGAGCGAAGCGAGAGAACGUUGCGUCAGCAACGGCCCGCAGGGCGAGCCACGCAGUGGCGAGUCAUCCUCUAUCACCGGCAG
Molecule: small RNA, 134 nt
Filed under: Salmonella enterica subsp. enterica serovar Derby
Lineage: Bacteria; Pseudomonadati; Pseudomonadota; Gammaproteobacteria; Enterobacterales; Enterobacteriaceae
Also listed under: 52 other names
Description: RtT sRNA
Rfam family: RtT RNA
About the family: This family represents a bacterial cis-regulatory element known as RtT RNA.
Source: RNAcentral